This is a long non-coding RNA of Oxyura jamaicensis (ruddy duck), 315 nucleotides long. RefSeq lists it as uncharacterized. Lineage: Eukaryota; Metazoa; Chordata; Aves; Anseriformes; Anatidae. The record is from RefSeq and is a predicted model, not a curated record. The transcript has 3 exons.
GGAAAUUCUUAUUCAGAGGAGUUUUCCAACACCCUACACAUGAAAAACUGCAAGAGAGCAGAGCCCAAUCUCCUCUGCAGCAGGCACAGCAUCAGAAAGAUACACUGGAGACAAAUGACACUGCUUUUCCCAAAACUCCUCUUUCAAAACUAAAGAACCCUCAUUUGUGGUUUGAUUUCCUUGUUAACUAACUUCCUCCCAGGAGCUACAGCUGCCUUGAGGGGAGAAGACCCUUUUAACCCAGUUGGGAAACUACUGCAUGCAGGCAUUGGGCUCAAACUGUUGCCAUACCCAGACAGCCUUUGUGACCUUUGC